Molecule: transfer RNA, 68 nt
Filed under: Marmota monax (woodchuck)
Lineage: Eukaryota; Metazoa; Chordata; Mammalia; Rodentia; Sciuridae
Description: tRNA.Ala
Source: RNAcentral
GCUGGGGAUCUAGCUCAGUGGUAGAGCUCUUGCCUAGCAUGUAGGAGGCUCUGAUUCAAUUCCCAGCA